GUCUCUGUGGCGCAAUGGUUCAGCGCGUUCGGCUGUUAACUGAAACGCUGGUGGUUCGAGCCCACCCAGGGAUG
Molecule: transfer RNA, 74 nt
Filed under: Chelydra serpentina (North American snapping turtle)
Lineage: Eukaryota; Metazoa; Chordata; Testudines; Chelydridae
Description: tRNA-Asn
Rfam family: tRNA
About the family: Transfer RNA (tRNA) molecules are approximately 80 nucleotides in length.
Source: RNAcentral